This 253-nucleotide ribosomal RNA is filed under the name uncultured bacterium. RNAcentral's name for it is "partial 16S ribosomal RNA". It matches the Rfam family "Bacterial small subunit ribosomal RNA", at positions 524 to 776 of the family's 1533-position model. The record is from RNAcentral.
UACGAAGGGUGCAAACGUUGCUCGGAAUUAUUGGGCGUAAAGCGCACGUAGGCGGCUUGGCAAGUCGGAUGUGAAAUCCCUCGGCUCAACCAAGGAAGUGCAUCCGAAACUGCUGAGCUUGAGUACGAAAGAGGAUCGCGGAAUUCCCGGUGUAGAGGUGAAAUUCGUAGAUAUCGGGAGGAACACCAGUGGCGAAGGCGACUACCUGGCCUGUUCUUGACGCUGAGGCGCGAAAGCUAGGGGAGCAAACGGG